Amphiprion ocellaris (clown anemonefish) is the source of this 896-nucleotide long non-coding RNA. NCBI's taxonomy places the organism in Eukaryota, Metazoa, Chordata, Actinopteri, Pomacentridae. The record is from Ensembl.
AAGCAUGGAGGAGGAGGUGUGAUGGUGUGGGGGUGCUUUGCUGGUGACACUGUUGGGGAUUUAUUCCAAAUUGAAGGCACACUGAACCAGCAUGGCUACCACAGCAUCCUGCAGUGACAUGACAUCAGAUCUGGUUUGCAUUUAGUUGGACCAUCAUUUAUUUUUCAACAGGACAAUGACCCCAAACACACCUCCAGGCUGUGGAAGGACUAUUUGACCAAGAAGGAGAGUGAUGGAGUGCUGUGUCAGAUGACCUGAACUCCAGUCACCUGACAUAAACCCAAUCCAGAUGGUCUGGCAUGAGAUGGACCACAGAGUGAAGGCAAAAGGACCAACAAGUGCUCAGCAUCUCUGGGACUCCUUCAAGACUGUUGGAAAACCAUUUCAGCUUUGAAUCUCCUCAUCAGAGUCGGUUUGUGGCGGGAGCUGAAGCCUUCAGACAGGUGAUUGGAUGCAACGAUGACGGCGAAUCAGUGACGCAUCAUCAGAUCACCACCGAGGAAGAAGCAGCGACGUCGUCCUCAGACAUGGCCGAUGUUCGGUUACAGUAGUCGACCCAUGUGGACCAGAUAUACCAGAAGGAGACCCCGAACUUCACCAAUCCUCCGACUCCAAACCAACCCUCACUCCAAUCCGUUCGUCCUCAGGUGUCGAUGAACCAUGGACAUCACCUGGCUCUGCGUCGUCUUGUUCGUCGCCGUCGUCAUCGCUGUCGUCCUCCUCGUCUUCACCUGUGUGAACUGCAGGAAAAAAGGCCCCAUGGGUGGGAUGAAGCUUCUGCAGCCGCAUGCGGUUUCCAUAUUAAUACUUCAUAAAGGCCCCAUUGGUUUCCAUUUAGACGUGUUAAAACUGAAUUACAUCAGAGUUUUUACACAUCUGAUGUUCAUGUGAUUUUU